This 422-nucleotide ribosomal RNA is filed under the name uncultured microorganism. RNAcentral describes it as "bacterial SSU rRNA". It matches the Rfam family "Bacterial small subunit ribosomal RNA", at positions 9 to 429 of the family's 1533-position model. The record is from RNAcentral.
GAGUUUGAUCGUGGCUCAGAUUGAACGCUGGCGGCAUGCCUUACACAUGCAAGUCGAACGGCAGCAUGAUCUAGCUUGCUAGAUUGAUGGCGAGUGGCGAACGGGUGAGUAAUACAUCGGAACGUGCCCUGUAGUGGGGGAUAACUAGUCGAAAGAUUAGCUAAUACCGCAUACGACCUGAGGGUGAAAGUGGGGGACCGCAAGGCCUCAUGCUAUAGGAGCGGCCGAUGUCUGAUUAGCUAGUUGGUGGGGUAAAGGCCCACCAAGGCGACGAUCAGUAGCUGGUCUGAGAGGACGAUCAGCCACACUGGGACUGAGACACGGCCCAGACUCCUACGGGAGGCAGCAGUGGGGAAUUUGGACAAUGGGCGAAAGCCUGACCCAGCAAUGCCGCGUGUGUGAAGAAGGCCUUCGGUUGUAAG